UACGUAGGGGGCAAGCGUUGUCCGGAAUCAUUGGGCGUAAAGAGCGUGUAGGCGGCCCGAUAAGUCCGCUGUGAAAGUCCAGGGCUCAACCCUGGAAUGCCAGUGGAAACUGUCGGGCUGGAGUCCGGAAGAGGCGAGUGGAAUUCCUGGUGUAGCGGUGAAAUGCGCAGAUAUCAGGAGGAACACCAAUGGCGAAGGCAGCUCGCUGGGACGGUACUGACGCUGAGAAGCGAAAGCAUGGGGAGCGAACAGG
Molecule: ribosomal RNA, 253 nt
Filed under: uncultured bacterium
Lineage: Bacteria
Description: partial 16S ribosomal RNA
Rfam family: Bacterial small subunit ribosomal RNA
Source: RNAcentral